Molecule: non-coding RNA, 415 nt
Organism: Cinara cedri
Lineage: Eukaryota; Metazoa; Arthropoda; Insecta; Hemiptera; Aphididae
Source: the annotation of a GenBank genome assembly
UGUUUUUGUUCCUAUUGUCGUAUCAACUAAAGCAUCUAAACAUGUAUUUGACAUAUUAGAAUCUGCAACUACACCAAUAGUAGCUCCCACCGCUAUAUAAGUAAUUGCUGCUAUGCAUAAUAGCAAUCAGAGCUUUUAUUUCAGCACCCUUUCAUUCAAUAGAUAUUUUAUAUAUCACUGCUAUAGGUGCAGGACCAAUAGCAUCCCUGCAAAUCAAGGGCAAGUUAUAAAACUCAAAAUACAACCCGUAAGAGCUCCUAUCACAGAUAUUAAUCCAAAAAAAAGAUUUAAUCUUCUUUAUCCAUACACUCCUCUCUUAACAAAUUACCAUUUUAUAUUGAUAUGCAAGGUUGCUAAGCUAAGAAGGUGUCUUGUAAUAGAAAGCCAAAUCAGUUAACUCUAAUUCUAAAAUAUC